Tupaia belangeri chinensis (Chinese tree shrew) is the source of this 525-nucleotide long non-coding RNA. RefSeq lists it as uncharacterized. The record is from RefSeq and is a predicted model, not a curated record. The transcript has 3 exons. Lineage: Eukaryota; Metazoa; Chordata; Mammalia; Scandentia; Tupaiidae.
GGCGUGUCCAUCGCCCCAACCACCACACUGUAGAGUCUGGGGGAAAGGAAAAGAAACAUGGCGGUUCCCACUAGUGGGAACCUUUAGGCCUUCAGCACACCCACCACCAGUUGAACAGAAACAUUGUCUCCCAUUGGCCGGGACUGGAUGCUAUAAGAGGAUGAGCAGCAAUCCUUUGGGCCUGACUCUGGUAUUUUCAUCUUUGCUGUCUCUUACUCCGUUGCCACCACUCCUAAAUCAAACAUCCGGUGCCAAAAACCAGGAGGGGCUGGAUGCCUCUUGGAGUCAUCUGGCUGGGUUUUCAUGACAGUCCUCACACCCUUGGUUGGUCAAGCCCUGGCAAAGGACCUCAUGAACUGUCCCCUUCAUCCUUCUAAGGUUCUCCAGUACGUGGAUGACCUGCUUACCUGAAGCCCCUCACUGCAGGAUUCACAAGAACAGAUGGGCACCCUCCUUAAUUUUCUGGCUGCCAAAAGAUAUCGAGUGCCGGAACCACCAUCUUCCAGUAAUUAACCAAAAUGACGA